This is a long non-coding RNA of Epinephelus fuscoguttatus (brown-marbled grouper), 1213 nucleotides long. RefSeq lists it as uncharacterized. The record is from RefSeq and is a predicted model, not a curated record. The transcript has 2 exons. NCBI's taxonomy places the organism in Eukaryota, Metazoa, Chordata, Actinopteri, Perciformes, Serranidae.
UUCACAAAAACUGUCAGGAUCAUGACACUUUAAAUAAGUUGUUCAAAUAAGUGUAACCAAAAUCUUUGGUGUGACAAAUUACUAUUAACAACAAACAACCUAUUUGUGCUCUAAAAAUAACAUGUAUGUAACCCACGUUAAAAUAUGACACAAAUAGGAAUAAGUAAUUUAAAAAUGCAUAAAUAAGUUUGAAGGUUAAAAAUGAUUCAUUUAAUGUAAGUCAAUUCAUCAGAGUUGAUAAAAAAUGUUAAUGCAACAAUAAUUUAAUAUUGAGGAUCCAAAAUAUGGUGAUAGAGAAUUCGUGUCACUGUCCCUUUAAGGACCAGUGACGCUAGACGCAGCACCUCAGUGACGCUGCAGCAGAGACCUGAGGGAGAGAGCAGAGAAGAGAUCGGAGAGAACGAGCGGUGGUUAAUAAGCAGAAAAGAGAGUGAAAAGUUGAUUUUGCAGUUGGAAAACAAUAACGUACCUGGUCGGGAACUGACGGGGGUUAUGUGAAAAUUAAGCAACACCGGUUUUGGUCAGGUUUUUUUGCUUGGUUGGAAGCUCGGUCGGAGCGGAGAUUGAUCUGCAGUGUGCGGGCGUGCACAUUCACAGACGGGAUUCAAGAUGGCGAGCCAGUCCCAGACCUUCAUCUCAUCUUCUCCAUCACAUCAGUGAGGAAAUCAUCUGCGCAUGGUGACUCGCUGCCGGAGUGGUAGGAGUGUCAGGAUUUGAUUUGAACUGAACGGAGAACUGAUGGAAUUAUUAUUUUUGGACUGAAUCGGACUGAAACGUUUCAUUGAACUGAACAACUGAACUCACAUUUGGACUUGAACUGAUUUAAAGUGUCAUACUUUUGUUUGUAUCUCGGGUUCAUGAUUUUGAAUGUGAUUUUGAAUGAUUGUGGUCCACUUUGAUUUGAUUCUGAAACUGAAAUUAUUCUUUUAUCUGUGAAAGAAAGGGAAAAGUAGAGUUAACUCAGGAAGUAAAAUAGGAAUUCUAAAAUAGGUAUAACCUAGGGGUUUAAGUUUAAAGUUUAACUUAACUUAAAUUAGCUUUACCAAAAUAACCUAGGCAAACAAAAGAACAAAAAGAAGAGUGAAAUAUCUUUUCCAUUUAUUAUACUUACCCAAUGUAAGAACCUGCAGGGUAAUUUUUUUGUUUUGUUUUGUGUACUGUGUUUUUCAUGUUUAUAUUACAUUCAGUAAAUUGCCGGCCUUUUGUAUUUAAA